AAACAGAGGGACGACUUGACGUUAAAUCAAGUAUUAGAAGUUGAUUUAUGAAAAUAAUUUGGAUGUGGCGGGGGCUUAAGUUCAUUAACGGGAGAUAAUUAUUCAGGUAGGGAGCUCUACUAUAGUGAACAAUUAAUCUGGAAAGAGAAGGUCGAUACACAAUCAAUCUUUUUUCUUCUAUAGGAGAACCAACCUGAUUCAAUUGUUUAUUGUGUUAAAACGGAAGACAAGCGUUU
This 236-nucleotide long non-coding RNA is filed under the name Lathyrus oleraceus (garden pea). RNAcentral's name for it is "Pisum sativum (pea) long non-coding RNA (PSAT_LNC003992)". Lineage: Eukaryota; Viridiplantae; Streptophyta; Magnoliopsida; Fabales; Fabaceae. The record is from RNAcentral.